Molecule: ribosomal RNA, 509 nt
Filed under: uncultured bacterium
Lineage: Bacteria
Description: partial 16S ribosomal RNA
Rfam family: Bacterial small subunit ribosomal RNA
Source: RNAcentral
GACGAACGCUGGCGGCGUGCUUAACACAUGCAAGUGGAGCGACGAACCAGGGCUUGCCCUGGGGCAGAGCCGCGAACGGGUGAGUAACACGUGGGUAACCUGCCUCGAUGAUCGGGACAACCCGGGGAAACCCGGGCUAAUACCGAAUGUGCUCCGACCACAUCAGUGGACGGCGUAAAGGAAGCUUCGGCCUCCGCAUCGAGAUGGGCCCGCGGCCCAUUAGCUUGUUGGUGGGGUAAAGGCCCACCAAGGCUUCGAUGGGUAGCUGGUCUGAGAGGACGAUCAGCCACACUGGGACUGUGACACGGCCCAGAAUCCUACGGGAGGCAGCAGUGGGGAAGCUUGCGCAAUGCGCGAAAGCGUGACGCAGCAACGCCGCGUGGGGGAAGACGGCCUUAGGGUUGUAAACCCCUUUCAGGAGGGACGAAGGUCGGCGCGUUAAUAGCGUGUCCGACUGACGGUACCUCCACAAGAAGCCCCGGCUAACUACGUGCCAGCCGCCGCUGUAA